CAAGAUCCCCCAAAAUAAGCAUAUUUUGGAAUGAUAUUGUAUGGAAGAUUGAGUUUUAUUAUUAUUCGAACUCGAAGCAUAAUUAAUUAUCUCAAAUUACACAUCAAAAUUUUCAUUUGAUCAAGCUCUCACUUGUUCACCUUUAAAUGCUAGGCAUACUUCUCGCGAAGCUAAACACCAAUCUUCUAUAUAAUAUCAUCACCAAUGAUCAUCACAUUUUCAAAUAUUCGGCUCAAAAUUAACUAGAUUUGUAGAAUUUAAAGUGAUGAGCAGUAUAAUUUGAAACCAUAAACAUCAGUUUAUUUUGUGUUUAUACUUAAUGAUGCAAAAUCUGAAUACGAAAAUAAAAGUUUGAAUUUUGGAAAAUAAAAGAGUAUCACAAAAGUGGUGCCUCUAAUUUAAAAGAUACCUGUAUAAAAAAAAAUUAAUUCGGAACAACAAUGACUACUAUUACGAAACAGGCCAAAGAUUUAUAAAAAGGAAAAAGGAAAUUCGUAAAAAUAAGGAUAGAUUAUUUUGUUUCAAGGAAAAAUAUAAUCGUUGAUUAUGACUGAGGAAAAUUCUAUUUACAAUGAUUUCGAGAAUAUUACACCAAUGAUUCAGAAUAAGCGAUAAUAAGACCAACUAUCAAACUAUCCACAAUGACGCGAUAAUCAACUUUCAAGUUCGGAUGCAGCCAAUCAUUUAACUACCAACUUAGUGAUCGAUAAUACGAUAACUUUAGAUGAUGCAAAGCAAAUGAUCCAUUAUGCUAUGAUGUACUAGCGAAAUUGCUAAAGACCGAUAACUCGACGAUGAAAAAAUGAUGAACAAUACGACCGAUCAAUUAAUGGUGUCAACAACAAUAUGAAAAUUGACAUAUUACAAAGAAUAAUAGUUUUUUUUUAAAAAAAUUUUGAAUUCGUGUCCUGAGAAUGCCUCUUAAAAAUAAGGGAGGUGUUCUAGGCAUAUGUUUAUUUUUUUAUUAUUAUUAAAAUAUUAUUGAUUUUUUUAAUGUAUAAAAUAUAUUAUUGAUUUUUUUAAUGUAUAAAAUAUAUUAUUGAUUUUUUUUUAUUGGUUUUAAAAAGAAAAUAAAAGUUUGA
Long non-coding RNA from Gordionus sp. m RMFG-2023, 1082 nucleotides. RefSeq lists it as uncharacterized. Lineage: Eukaryota; Metazoa; Nematomorpha; Gordioida; Chordodea; Parachordodidae. The record is from RefSeq and is a predicted model, not a curated record. The transcript is spliced from 5 exons.